UGUCUCCUGUGCCUCUCUCAGAGCACCUGUGAUCCUCUCGCCGUCUCGGAUGCAACAGUGGGAGCUGCGGCAGCGCUGGACGUAAUCUCAUGGUGUGUUCUGACGCUUCCCUCGCACACAGACACGAUCUGAGAGAGCAACUGAUCGAGCCGCGUCCACAGCUCUGACAGCCGUCAUGUCGUGGUUGUUCCUGGACUGGUUCGUGCCCCUCUACCUGCUGGUGUCGGUUCUGGUGCUGGCAGGCUUCGGAGCGUGCCUGUACUUCUUGGAGCCCGGGCUGCAGGAUGCCCACAAGUGGAGCAACAAAACAGUCCGGCAUCACCCGCUGGUGGCCAGUGUGAACUGCAGAGAUGACGAUAGCAAUGCUCUGAUAUGAUCAAGAGGGGAGGGCGGCAGGCCAUCUGGACAGGGGUGCUGCCGGGACACCGGUGGGAUGGAAGCCAACACCUCAACGACCGAGAGAGGAAGAUGAGGAGGAUGAGAGAUGGAAGAGGAGACGAUGUGAUAAUACAAACCUUGGUCCUGCUUUCUUCCAGCUUCUCUCUGACUUCUGCAGAUUCUCUCUGCAGGGAUUAGGGAGAAGAAUUCCUUUUAAAAAAUAAUAAUAAAUGAAGCCAAAUGCACAAAGGAGGAGAAGCUGCAGAAGAAAAAGAUUGUGAGGUGAUUGGAGGACAUGUUGCCCUUUAGAAAUGUGUUUGUUAAAUCCACUUAUACCAUCUUAUAUACUUGUGCCAACUUUUACAUACGUUUUGUAAUUUGACAAUCACUUUACAUAUAUGCCAUGAAGUUUACUUACAUUGUGCAUUUAAUUAGUGGAGGAAAUGACAUAAGUGCUGCCAGCAGGGAGGGUUUUUGAAUCCUCCCUCUGAUGUCGGCAUGGCAGCUGCUGAGACGCAUGUUGUGCCAAAAUGGUGUAGUAGUGACUUUACUAAAAUAAUAUGUACUGAAUAAAUGCAAACUGAUUUAUUGCAGGUGCCAAGAUUACACUAGGUGGACCAAGACUAGAGGGAAAAAAAUAGUAUUUGGUGAUGCUCAGUGUCUAUUUUUUUGUUUUCAUCAUUUUUACUUGACAGCAUGGUGAGGAAACUAUGGGUGUGUAACCCUCUUUGAUCAUAUGCUUCCUUUGUUCAUACAAAAAUAAAACUGUUCAAUCCUUA
This is a long non-coding RNA of Stegastes partitus (bicolor damselfish), 1157 nucleotides long. RefSeq lists it as uncharacterized. Lineage: Eukaryota; Metazoa; Chordata; Actinopteri; Pomacentridae. The transcript has 2 exons. The record is from RefSeq and is a predicted model, not a curated record.